CCCUUAGAUGUUCUGGGCCGCACGCGCGCUACACUGAUGCAUUCAACAAGUUCUACCUUGGCCGAGAGGCCUGGGAAAUCUUUCAAAUAUGUAUCGUGAUAGGGAUAGAUUAUUGCAAUUAUUAAUCUUGAACGAGGAAUUCCUAGUAAAUGCAGAUCAUCAUUCUGCGUUGAUUACGUCCCUGCCCUUUGUACACACCGCCCGUCGCUCCUACCGAUUGAGUGGUCCGGUGAGGCUUUGGGAUCUGAGCGGAAAGAGCGUUUCGCUGUUUCUGCUCGGAAAACUCAGUCGAACCUUAUCAUUUAGAGGAAGGAGAAGUCGUAACA
Molecule: ribosomal RNA, 326 nt
Filed under: uncultured eukaryote
Lineage: Eukaryota
Description: partial 18S ribosomal RNA
Rfam family: Eukaryotic small subunit ribosomal RNA
Source: RNAcentral